AAGUCGUAACAAGGUCUCCGUAGGUGAACCUGCGGAAGGAUCAUUAACACGUAUCCACGUAUCAAGCAAACGAGAAUUAGUUAUCCCCUACCUUGUAAGGAGAAUGAGAAUGGGCCUCAGCAGUUGGGUAUGAAUGGACUCCUCGGAGUAACUAACUGUGCGCUUGCUUGCAUAUUAAUUUAUGCAGACUCUGUAUCUCGUAAUCAAGGCAUUGCCGUCCGAGCGUGAGAUCCCACUUCUUCUGUGGCUCGGGGAGUGCACUCUUAUUAAAAUUAUAACGUUAAUCACCACCUUUUUGCUAGUUGACUUUAUAUUGUGGCUCUUUGUGCUUGUCGCAUGGAUCACACGUUUAUUUAUUUGAACGUUAAAAAUACAACUCUUAGCAAUGGAUAUCUUGGUUCUC
Molecule: unclassified non-coding RNA, 403 nt
Filed under: fungal sp.
Lineage: Eukaryota; Fungi
Description: partial internal transcribed spacer region
Rfam family: Eukaryotic small subunit ribosomal RNA (bases 1-46)
Source: RNAcentral